This 465-nucleotide ribosomal RNA is filed under the name uncultured Klebsiella sp. RNAcentral's name for it is "bacterial SSU rRNA". It matches the Rfam family "Bacterial small subunit ribosomal RNA", at positions 338 to 795 of the family's 1533-position model. Lineage: Bacteria; Pseudomonadati; Pseudomonadota; Gammaproteobacteria; Enterobacterales; Enterobacteriaceae. The record is from RNAcentral.
CCUACGGGGGGCAGCAGUGGGGAAUAUUGCACAAUGGGCGCAAGCCUGAUGCAGCCAUGCCGCGUGUGUGAAGAAGGCCUUCGGGUUGUAAAGCACUUUCAGCGGGGAGGAAGGCGGUGAGGUUAAUAACCUCAUCGAUUGACGUUACCCGCAGAAGAAGCACCGGCUAACUCCGUGCCAGCAGCCGCGGUAAUACGGAGGGUGCAAGCGUUAAUCGGAAUUACUGGGCGUAAAGCGCACGCAGGCGGUCUGUCAAGUCGGAUGUGAAAUCCCCGGGCUCAACCUGGGAACUGCAUUCGAAACUGGCGGGCUAGAGUCUUGUAGAGGGGGGUAGAAUUCCAGGUGUAGCGGUGAAAUGCGUAGAGAUCUGGAGGAAUACCGGUGGCGAAGGCGGCCCCCUGGACAAAGACUGACGCUCAGGUGCGAAAGCGUGGGGAGCAAACAGGAUUAGAUACCCCUGUAGUC